GCCGCGGGAUUGUUGAAGGGGAAACGGUUGAAGUCAGUCUGCCGGCGUUGGAUUCCUUUGCUUCGCGGAACAGGGGUAUUUCCCCGCAUGGCAGGUCCAUCUCAGUUUUUUCGGCGUGAAAAGGCUCGGGUAAGGUAGCUCUCUUCGGGGAGUGUUAUCUACUUUAGAAGAUGCGCCGAGCACUGAUGAUUAUUGCAAAUGACGGGCUAAUGAUCUCUUCUCUGACCAUCUUCUGUUGAACUUCUUGUUGAUGAUGAGCGGAUGAUGGUGUUGUAAUAUGAUGGAAUCCAAAUUUUUUGCUGAUGAUGUUGACAUAAUAAUCACUGCGG
This 329-nucleotide ribosomal RNA is filed under the name uncultured fungus. Its description in RNAcentral is "partial 28S ribosomal RNA". The record is from RNAcentral. Lineage: Eukaryota; Fungi.